GGGAAGAAAAAUCCGGAUGUAAAUAAUGUUCGGACGUGACGGUACCUCACAAGAAAGCACCGGCUAACUUAGUGCCAGCAGCCGCGGUAAUACUAGGGGUGCUAGCGUUGUCCGGAAUCACUGGGCGUAAAGGGUCCGUAGGCGUUUUGCUAAGUUGAUUGUUAAAUCCAUCGGCUCAACCGAUGAUCUGCAAUCAAAACUGGUAGAAUAGAGUUCGAGAGAGGAAAGUGGAAUUCCUGGUGUAGCGGUGACAUGCGUAGAUAUCAGGAGGAACACCAAUGGCGAAGGCAGCUUUCUGGCUCGAUACUGACGCUGAGGGACGAAAGCGUGGGGAGCGAACAGGAUUAGAUACCCUGGUAGUCCACGCCGUAAACGAUGAGUACUUGAUGAUGGAGGAUUCGACCCCUUCGUUGUCGUAGCUAACGCGAUAAGUACUCCGCCUG
RNAcentral lists this ribosomal RNA (443 nucleotides) under uncultured Fibrobacterota bacterium. RNAcentral describes it as "bacterial SSU rRNA". It matches the Rfam family "Bacterial small subunit ribosomal RNA", at positions 442 to 875 of the family's 1533-position model. Lineage: Bacteria; Pseudomonadati; Fibrobacterota. The record is from RNAcentral.